CCUACGGGAGGCAGCAGUGGGGAAUAUUGCACAAUGGGGGAAACCCUGAUGCAGCGACGCCGCGUGAGUGAAGAAGCGUUUCGGCGCGUAAAGCUCUGUCAGCGGGGAAGAAACACGGUUCGCGAGAGCCGCGGACGGUACCCGACCAAGAAGCCCCGGCUAACUACGUGCCAGCAGCCGCGGUAAUACGUAGGGGGCAAGCGUUAUCCGGAUUCACUGGGUGUAAAGGGAGCGUAGACGGCGAGACAAGUCUGGAGUGAAAGGCCGGGGCCCAACCCCGGGACUGCUCUGGAAACUGCCUGGCUGGAGUACAGGAGAGGUAAGUGGAAUUCCUAGUGUAGCGGUGAAAUGCGUAGAUAUUAGGAGGAACACCAGUGGCGAAGGCGGCUUACUGGACUGUAACUGACGUUGAGGCUCGAAAGCGUGGGGAGCAAACAGGAUUAGAUACCCCAGUAGUC
Molecule: ribosomal RNA, 458 nt
Filed under: uncultured bacterium
Lineage: Bacteria
Description: partial 16S ribosomal RNA
Rfam family: Bacterial small subunit ribosomal RNA
Source: RNAcentral